Molecule: long non-coding RNA, 1930 nt
Filed under: Gallus gallus (chicken)
Lineage: Eukaryota; Metazoa; Chordata; Aves; Galliformes; Phasianidae
Source: RNAcentral
UGGGUCGCUUUUUUUGUACUGUGAAGUCCUGAUUUUCAUUCAGCAAUGCAAAUAAUUCUGGUUUUAGCUUGACCGUGUGAUGUCCAAUCACAGUAUAUAUAUUAGCUUUAAAUCCAUUAAUUUUAGAUAUACGUGUAUGACACAGUGUGGAACUGCACCCGUCACCAGAUAGUAAAGAGAACACUUCUAGGGUCUGUACCACCCAGACUGAUCGUUUUGCACUUCACAUUUCACAGUCAUGGGCCUUUGAAGCCCAUCACUCCAAGCCUUCUGCUUUAUGAACCAAAUUUUGCUGCAUUCAGAAACCCUGAGAGAGCAGGGGAGAGGACAAGUCUUACUGACAGAAGCAGACAGAGCCUCAGUAAAUACAACUCUUCCUAUCAAACCUACAGGAACAGUUCGGCUUUACAGCAGUCACAUUAACAAAGGAAGAGGGAGGCAGAGGAGGGUAUCUUUUCCCAGUCAGUAUCCAAAUUCCCAGAAGGACCAAUGUACAUAAGAGAAAACCAUCAGUCUGUUCACCAAGAUGCAUUACAGUGUUCCAUUUUCCGCUCGUUUUAGGUCAAGUGGAAGCUUCUUUUUUCAGUUUUUCUAAUACUUCAUCUGGUGUCACCGAUACCAAAAUCUUCACCACUUUAUCACGUGAUUUCCCACCCUUCUCUAAAAUAACAUCACUCUUCUUCACUCCUAGCACCUUAGAGAGGUAGCGGCACAGCUCUGCGUUCGCCUCCCCUUCUGAUGGCGGUGCAGCAAUAGCCACACCUACUGCCUCGGCUGUCACAUCUGUCACGGCGCUGCAGCGGGAGCCGGGCUUGGCGCGCACCGACACCCUCACGCCGCCGUCGCCCGCUGCCACCACCGGCCCCGCGGCGGCGCCGGGCUCGGCGGACUCCUUCCCGGCCGCUUUGCCCUUCCGGGGCAUGUCCCCGCCGCGGCCCCGUAGCGGCGCCAACAGCCGCUGACGGCAUCCGGCGAGGGUCAGCAUGGCCCGGCGCCGCCCUUCCGGGAGCAGCGCUAACCCCGCCCCUCGGCUGCGCAUGCGCGUCACGGUGCUCGGCGCUGCGGAGCCGGAACGGAAUGGCUGCGUUGGAGGCGUGCUUUGGGACUUCAACCCGUGGGAAUCAGGACCCUGAAAAACAGCAGAGGAGAUGAGCAGCAGGAUGGAAACGCGAGCACGACCCAUACAAUGUUGAAGUUCAAACACUACUGAUUUACAUCAUUUUAACAAUAAAAAAAUGUCUGUAUCCACAUGACAGAAGUUUCAUUCUAAAUUACAAAUAACAGAAGCAGAUCCUGUAAGUCUAACCAAAAAAGGUUCCUCUGACAGUAGGCCUAAACCACUUGGUUUUACCCCACUAAUAAUGAAUAAAUGUUUUCUGAUACUUCUUGUCACACAAGUUGUCUGUAUUUUCACUUCAUCUCCCACCUCAGAUGCUUUAAUGGGCAGCAUUUUUUCCAAUCCAUUCGACUUUGAAUUCCGUACAGGGAAUUAUCUUUAAAACAAUAUUAUUUUUAAAAGAUUUUACAGAAAAUGUUGAAUGAGUCAAUUUUCCUAGAACAAACCAUUCUUUUCCUUUAUCUUAGCACUAGCAUAUAAAAGCGAGAAAAGAAAGCUGUCAGUGUUCUUGACUAUAGCUGGUCCUUAACAAAAGAAAUCAAACAAGUUUUGACAAAGACAGCUGUCAGAUUAAAUAUUCCAAAUAGUGCUUCUGCCCACACAGAACCACAGUGACUUCCAUUAGGACUUGUUUUAACUCCUGUCAGUGGGAAAUCACAAAGGAUCCAGUUAUAAAUUCUGUGCUGCGGCACAGAACAGAGAGAAAGCAGCUUUAAAAGUUACCAUACAGUUUAGCUACUGCCUCCUUUCACACAAAGCAUAGCAUGAGACCAAGAUGACACGUUCCCUCACAAAACAGAUAAGAGGUAAACC